RNAcentral lists this ribosomal RNA (641 nucleotides) under Sarcocystis heydorni. RNAcentral describes it as "SSU rRNA". The record is from RNAcentral. Lineage: Eukaryota; Apicomplexa; Conoidasida; Eucoccidiorida; Sarcocystidae.
CUCAGGGAGGUAGUGACAAGAAAUAACAACACUGGAAAUUUUAUUUCUAGUGAUUGGAAUGAUGGGAAUUUAAACCCCUUUCAGAGUAACAAUUGGAGGGCAAGUCUGGUGCCAGCAGCCGCGGUAAUUCCAGCUCCAAUAGCGUAUAUUAAAGUUGUUGCAGUUAAAAAGCUCGUAGUUGGAUAUCUGCUGGAAGCAAUCAGUCCGCCCUAUUUGUAGGGUGUGCACUUGAUGAAUUCUGGCAUUUUUGUCCCAAUGAUAAUAYGGCGGAAGGAGGGGUAAAACCCUAUUCCGUACUGUUCUUAUUGGGAUACUGUUACUUUGAGAAAAUUAGAGUGUUUGAAGCAGGCUAAUUGCCUUGAAUACUGCAGCAUGGAAUAACAAUAUAGGAUUUCGGUUCUAUUUUGUUGGUUUCUAGGACUGAAAUAAUGAUUAAUAGGGACAGUUGGGGGCAUUCGUAUUUAACUGUCAGAGGUGAAAUUCUUAGAUUUGUUAAAGACGAACUACUGCGAAAGCAUUUGCCAAAGAUGUUUUCAUUAAUCAAGAACGAAAGUUAGGGGCUCGAAGACGAUCAGAUACCGUCGUAGUCUUAACCAUAAACUAUGCCGACUAGAGAUAGGAAAAUGUCAUUUUGCUGACUU